Molecule: ribosomal RNA, 501 nt
Filed under: uncultured bacterium
Lineage: Bacteria
Description: bacterial SSU rRNA
Rfam family: Bacterial small subunit ribosomal RNA
Source: RNAcentral
AGCGAACGUUUGCGGCGGGCCUAACACAUGCAAGUCGAACGGGUUGGCAACAACCAGUGGCGCACGGGUGCGUAACACGUAGGUAAUCAACCCCUCGGUUCGGGAUAACGUUCUGAAAGGAGCGCUAAUACCGGACUCGUCGUCGGGAGCCUCGGCUCCUGAUGAGAAAGACCCGCAAGGGUUGCCGAGGGACGAGCCUGCGGCCCAUCAGCUAGUUGGCGAGGUAAUGGCUCACCAAGGCGAAGACGGGUAACUGGUCUGAGAGGAUGGAUCAGUCACACUGGAACCUGAGACACGGUCCAGACUCCUACGGGAGGCAGCAGUGGGGAAUAUUGCGCAAUGGGCGAAAGCCUGACGCAGCCACGCCGCGUGAGCGAUGAAGGUCUUCGGAUCGUAAAGCUCGUGUGGGGAGAGACGAAGAAAGCCGGUGAAGAGCCGGCCUUGACGGUAUCUCCUUAGCAAGCACCGGCUAACUCCGUGCCAGCAGCCGCGGUAAAGUCG